Molecule: ribosomal RNA, 213 nt
Filed under: uncultured bacterium
Lineage: Bacteria
Description: partial 16S ribosomal RNA
Rfam family: Bacterial small subunit ribosomal RNA
Source: RNAcentral
CGUCCUGGUAGCGGGGGAUAACUAAUUGAAACGAUAGCUAAUACCGCAUAACAGUAGAUAUUGCAUGAUAUCUGCUUGAAAGGUGCAAAUGCAUCACUACCAGAUGGACCUGCGUUGUAUUAGCUAGUUGGUGAGGUAACGGCUCACCAAGGCGACGAUACAUAGCCGACCUGAGAGGGUGAUCGGCCACACUGGGACUGAGACACGGCCCAG